RNAcentral lists this ribosomal RNA (329 nucleotides) under uncultured bacterium. RNAcentral's name for it is "bacterial SSU rRNA". It matches the Rfam family "Bacterial small subunit ribosomal RNA", at positions 28 to 334 of the family's 1533-position model. The record is from RNAcentral.
GAUGAACGCUGGCGGCGUGCCUAACACAUGCAAGUCGAACGGAGUUACUUGUUUAGAUCUCUUCGGAGUGACGAACUUUUAACUUAGUGGCGGACGGGUGAGUAACACGUGAGCAACCUGCCUUUCAGAGGGGGACAACGGCUGGAAACGGUCGCUAAUACCGCAUAAAAAUAUUUGAGCGGCAUCGCUUAAAAUAUCAAAGGAGCAAUCCGCUGAAAGAUGGGCUCGCGUCUGAUUAGAUAGUUGGUGGGGUAACGGCCUACCAAGUCGACGAUCAGUAGCCGGACUGAGAGGUUGAACGGCCACAUUGGGACUGAGAUACGGCCCAG